RNAcentral lists this ribosomal RNA (253 nucleotides) under uncultured bacterium. RNAcentral's name for it is "partial 16S ribosomal RNA". It matches the Rfam family "Bacterial small subunit ribosomal RNA", at positions 524 to 776 of the family's 1533-position model. The record is from RNAcentral.
UACGUAGGGGGCAAGCGUUGUCCGGAUUUAUUGGGCGUAAAGCGCGCGCAGGCGGCCUCGCGCGCCCGACGUGAAAGCCCCCGGCUUAACCGGGGAGGGUCGUUGGGGACGGCGGGGCUUGAGGGCGGGAGAGGUCGGUGGAAUUCCCGGUGUAGUGGUAAAAUGCGUAGAGAUCGGGAGGAACACCUGUGGCGAAGGCGGCCGACUGGGCCGACCCUGACGCUGAGGCGCGAAGGCGUGGGGAGCGAACGGG